CAGCUGCGAGACUUGGUGUGAAUUGCAGGACACAUUGAGCACUGAUUUUUCGAACGCGCAUUGCGGCCUCGGGUCUCGCCCGGGGCCUCGCCUGUCUGAGGGUCGGAUGCGACAUACCGAGAGGCGAACUCUCCCCCCCCGGCUUCCCCGAUCGUAGUUUCGGAGGAGCGGCCGGUGGGCUAGAGGGGAGCGAGCCUCGCGUGGCCGUUUCGGAGCGUGUUCGCUCCGUCGGCUCCAGUCUUGGUUCCGUGCUGAUUGGGAAGACCUCCCUCGGCGCCGAUCUCGACGUGGCCGUGGGAAAGGCGAAUAUACGUUCUUUCGAUACCGCGGGCGUUUCGAGAAGCCGCGUGGAGCGUCUUCGUGUUUUACCUGUCGACCUCAGAUCAGACGAGACGACCCGCUGAAUUUAA
This 410-nucleotide ribosomal RNA is filed under the name Dysdera hungarica. RNAcentral describes it as "eukaryotic LSU rRNA". The stretch from base 1 to 105 matches the Rfam family "5.8S ribosomal RNA", at positions 50 to 154 of the family's 154-position model. Lineage: Eukaryota; Metazoa; Arthropoda; Arachnida; Araneae; Dysderidae. The record is from RNAcentral.